Molecule: microRNA precursor, 96 nt
Organism: Vicugna pacos (alpaca)
Lineage: Eukaryota; Metazoa; Chordata; Mammalia; Artiodactyla; Camelidae
Gene: MIR488
Product: microRNA 488
Source: Ensembl
GAGAAUCAUCUCUCCCAGAUAAUGGCACUGUCAAACAAGUUUUUGAGUUGUUUGAAAGGCUGUUUCUUGGUCAGAAGACUCUCGAUUCCUUCUGGA